GGGUGAUUAGCUCAAUCGGUAGAGCAGCGGACUCUUAAUCCGUUGGCUAAAGGUUCAAGUCCUUUAUCACCCACCA
RNAcentral lists this transfer RNA (76 nucleotides) under Pseudomonadota bacterium. RNAcentral describes it as "tRNA-Lys". It matches the Rfam family "tRNA". Rfam says of the family: Transfer RNA (tRNA) molecules are approximately 80 nucleotides in length. Their secondary structure includes four short double-helical elements and three loops (D, anti-codon, and T loops). The record is from RNAcentral. RNAcentral also lists the same sequence under 3 other names. Lineage: Bacteria; Pseudomonadati; Pseudomonadota.